RNAcentral lists this ribosomal RNA (1540 nucleotides) under Enterobacter cloacae. RNAcentral describes it as "bacterial SSU rRNA". It matches the Rfam family "Bacterial small subunit ribosomal RNA". Lineage: Bacteria; Pseudomonadati; Pseudomonadota; Gammaproteobacteria; Enterobacterales; Enterobacteriaceae. The record is from RNAcentral.
AAAUUGAAGAGUUUGAUCAUGGCUCAGAUUGAACGCUGGCGGCAGGCCUAACACAUGCAAGUCGAACGGUAGCACAGAGAGCUUGCUCUCGGGUGACGAGUGGCGGACGGGUGAGUAAUGUCUGGGAAACUGCCUGAUGGAGGGGGAUAACUACUGGAAACGGUAGCUAAUACCGCAUAAUGUCGCAAGACCAAAGAGGGGGACCUUCGGGCCUCUUGCCAUCAGAUGUGCCCAGAUGGGAUUAGCUAGUAGGUGGGGUAACGGCUCACCUAGGCGACGAUCCCUAGCUGGUCUGAGAGGAUGACCAGCCACACUGGAACUGAGACACGGUCCAGACUCCUACGGGAGGCAGCAGUGGGGAAUAUUGCACAAUGGGCGCAAGCCUGAUGCAGCCAUGCCGCGUGUAUGAAGAAGGCCUUCGGGUUGUAAAGUACUUUCAGCGGGGAGGAAGGUGUUGUGGUUAAUAACCACAGCAAUUGACGUUACCCGCAGAAGAAGCACCGGCUAACUCCGUGCCAGCAGCCGCGGUAAUACGGAGGGUGCAAGCGUUAAUCGGAAUUACUGGGCGUAAAGCGCACGCAGGCGGUCUGUCAAGUCGGAUGUGAAAUCCCCGGGCUCAACCUGGGAACUGCAUUCGAAACUGGCAGGCUAGAGUCUUGUAGAGGGGGGUGGAAUUCCAGGUGUAGCGGUGAAAUGCGUAGAGAUCUGGAGGAAUACCGGUGGCGAAGGCGGCCCCCUGGACAAAGACUGACGCUCAGGUGCGAAAGCGUGGGGAGCAAACAGGAUUAGAUACCCUGGUAGUCCACGCCGUAAACGAUGUCGAUUUGGAGGUUGUGCCCUUGAGGCGUGGCUUCCGGAGCUAACGCGUUAAAUCGACCGCCUGGGGAGUACGGCCGCAAGGUUAAAACUCAAAUGAAUUGACGGGGGCCCGCACAAGCGGUGGAGCAUGUGGUUUAAUUCGAUGCAACGCGAAGAACCUUACCUGGUCUUGACAUCCACAGAACUUUCCAGAGAUGGAUUGGUGCCUUCGGGAACUGUGAGACAGGUGCUGCAUGGCUGUCGUCAGCUCGUGUUGUGAAAUGUUGGGUUAAGUCCCGCAACGAGCGCAACCCUUAUCCUUUGUUGCCAGCGGUCCGGCCGGGAACUCAAAGGAGACUGCCAGUGAUAAACUGGAGGAAGGUGGGGAUGACGUCAAGUCAUCAUGGCCCUUACGACCAGGGCUACACACGUGCUACAAUGGCGCAUACAAAGAGAAGCGACCUCGCGAGAGCAAGCGGACCUCAUAAAGUGCGUCGUAGUCCGGAUUGGAGUCUGCAACUCGACUCCAUGAAGUCGGAAUCGCUAGUAAUCGUAGAUCAGAAUGCUACGGUGAAUACGUUCCCGGGCCUUGUACACACCGCCCGUCACACCAUGGGAGUGGGUUGCAAAAGAAGUAGGUAGCUUAACCUUCGGGAGGGCGCUUACCACUUUGUGAUUCAUGACUGGGGUGAAGUCGUAACAAGGUAACCGUAGGGGAACCUGCGGUUGGAUCACCUCCUUA